Molecule: long non-coding RNA, 947 nt
Organism: Oncorhynchus tshawytscha (Chinook salmon)
Lineage: Eukaryota; Metazoa; Chordata; Actinopteri; Salmoniformes; Salmonidae
Source: Ensembl
CACAGGUGUAGCCAGCCAGUAUACCAUGUUGAAAUACACAGGUGUGGCCAGCCAGUAUACCAUGUUGAAAUACACAGGUGUAUCCAGCCAGUAUACUGUAUACCACGUUGAAAUACACAGGUGUGCCCAGCCAGUGUACCACGUUGAAAUACACAGGUGUAGCCAGCCAGUGUACCACGUUGAAAUACACAGGUGUAUCCAGCCAGUAUACCACGUUGAAAUACACAGGUGUAGCCAGCCAGUAUACUGUAUACCACGUUGAAAUACACAGUCGUAUCCAGCCAGUGUACAGUAUACCAUGUUGAAAUACACAGGUGUAGCCAGCCAGUAUACCACGUUGAAAUACACAGGCGUAUCCAGCCAGUAUACUGUAUACCAUGUUGAAAUACACAGGCGUAUCCAGCCAGUAUACUGUAUACCAUGUUGAAAUACACAGGCGUAUCCAGCCAGUAUACUGUAUACCAUGUUGAAAUACACAGGUGUAUCCAGCCAGUAUACUGUAUACCACGUUGAAAUACACAGGUGUAGUACUAUUCUAGGAUUUGUUCAUUACCAAGUUGGAACAUAUUUUUAUUGCAUAUUAUAAUGCUUGUUGUUGUUGUUGUUGUUGUAUAUCCUCUGCCUUGACGAUGGAAGUAUCCGGUUGAUCCGAUUCGAGGUGACGCUGGCGUCAUGAAAUAAAAGCACAUAUAUAUACUUUAUGAAAUAAUGUUUACACUCCUGUUGUUUAUUAAAAAUAAAAUUUAAAAAGGCAUUGUUAAUUCAAAUGUCUGUAUUUCAAUAUACUUAUUUUAUACCGUUUUAUAAGUGACAUAUAUAUAUAUAUAUUGUGUAUGAAAAGCCUUGUAAUUGUUGUAAUCACUUGAUGUGAUUUUUGUGCAUUUGACAUCAGUGUCUCGUUGUAUUUUUUUCAAUAUUAAAAGGACCCAGAGCAGUCAAAAAAAAAC